AGUAUAACGGUACAAACACAAUCAUUCAUUCAACAACAGCAGUUGGAUCUCUCCAUUACAACUCCAAUUAAUUCACCACGAUGGCUUGCGGCAAAGCUCUCUUAGCAUCUCUGAUGAUCUUCAUUCUCAUUUGCAAUUCAGCUGAAGGUUUCCACUACCGAGUACUGACAGACCCCUAUAUAAUGGGUGAAUGUCCCAAAAUUCCUGACUGUCCGGGGGAUUACAUCGUGUCCUGGUGUAGGCGAUACCAAAUUAUCACGUUAGCAGAUGGAAUCAUGUGUCGUGAUUGCCCGAUUAACGUCUGUGGCAAUUAAUUUCCUCCUCAACACACCUGUCGUCCAAUGAGUAUGGACGGUAAACAUUGAACGAGACUCACGCGUUCCUGAAUGGUACUGAUGUCGGGGACAUACUCGAAUUCAUCACAACAAGACUUCAUCACUUGCCUGUUAACGAGACUCACGCGUUCCUGAAUGGUACUGAUGUCGGGGACAUACUCGAAUAUAUCACAACAAGACUUCAUCACUUGCCUGUUAACGUGCAGGCACACAGGAUCGAGGAAUUCCAUACAACAUCGGCAUGUCUUUAGCGUGCACUGUUGAUUCUACGAAUAUUGUCAUUUGUUUGACGAAUUUGUUAAACAUAUUUUCAUUUCUGCAAACCAUUUUAUUAAUAGCUUCCUGUAUUAAGUAUUUAUUUUAAAGCAAGUAUUUUCAUUCAAAGUGCCGACAUGUACUUCUGGAUAAUGUCCUAUCAUGAUAUCAAAGUUUGACUUUCUACACAAACCAGUCGAUCUAGAAACGUUGCGACACGUUUAAUGCGUACAUUGUGUAGAAAGUGAAACUUUGAUAUCUCUUUUUUUCCAAACUGAUGAAUCUUAUUGAUAAUGUCCAAUCAUAUUUAUUUAACAAUGUAAGAUAUUGAAUUGUGUCAUAUGUCGAGUGUAUUGCUAUUGAUAGCAUUUACCAUGUGGGGAAUCACAUGAUAAUAAUCUAGGGUGAAAUGGCAAAAAUAAGGUGCACCUCGGGUCACAUUCGUAUAUGUUGAGUGUAUUAUGAUUGAUAGCAUUUAAUGCUAUGCGAUCUAACAGAAAUAGUAUCAAUGCAAUAUUGAGUAUGAUUAUUGAACAUAUUUAGGCAGUUGAUGUGUGAACUGCUCGUCAUUUAAUUUACAACUCUGUGAUGCUGGUCAUCAUCUGUCCUACAUAAUGUACAACACUCAUUUUUUAUAAACAUUUAGAAUUUUGUAUUUUUUAUGUAUUGC
Mizuhopecten yessoensis (Yesso scallop) is the source of this 1260-nucleotide long non-coding RNA. RefSeq lists it as uncharacterized. The record is from RefSeq and is a predicted model, not a curated record. The transcript is spliced from 3 exons. NCBI's taxonomy places the organism in Eukaryota, Metazoa, Mollusca, Bivalvia, Pectinida, Pectinidae.